This 530-nucleotide ribosomal RNA is filed under the name uncultured fungus. RNAcentral describes it as "partial 18S ribosomal RNA". The stretch from base 188 to 341 matches the Rfam family "5.8S ribosomal RNA". The record is from RNAcentral. Lineage: Eukaryota; Fungi.
UCCGUAGGUGAACCUGCGGAAGGAUUAUUACAGAAAUAGGAGAAGGUUGCUUAACUGCAAUCCUCUUCUUUCUACACAUGUGUUUUUCUUUUUUUUGAAAACUUUGCUUUGGUGGGCCCACGGCCUGCCAGAGAUUAAACUCAACCAAAUUUUUAUUUAAUUGUCAACUUGAUUAACUAACAGUCAAAACUUUCAACAACGGAUCUCUUGGUUCUCGCAUCGAUGAAGAACGCAGCGAAAUGCGAUAAGUAAUAUGAAUUGCAGAUAUUCGUGAAUCAUCGAAUCUUUGAACGCACAUUGCGCCCUUUGGUAUUCCAAAGGGCAUGCCUGUUUGAGCGUCAUUUCUCCCUCAAACCUUCGGGUUUGGUGUUGAGCGAUACGCUGGGUUUGCUUGAAAGAAAGGCGGAGUAUAAACUAAUGGAUAGGUUUUUUUUUCCACUCAUUGGUACAAACUCCAAACAUUCUUCCAAAUUCGACCUCAAAUCAGGUAGGACUACCCGCUGAACUUAAGCAUAUCAAUAAGCGGAGGA